This is a non-coding RNA of Gossypium hirsutum (cotton), 107 nucleotides long. The record is from Rfam. Lineage: Eukaryota; Viridiplantae; Streptophyta; Magnoliopsida; Malvales; Malvaceae.
AAUCCAUGAUGUGGGCAUAUCUUUAUUAGCGUUUUAAAAUGCUCCUAAGCUUCGUGAAAGCUCUCUCCCUUUAAUUGUUUAAACAUUGCGAUCUCUCUUCUCAGUUG